CGAACGGGUGAGUAACGCGUGAGGAACCUGCCUCAAAGAGGGGGACAACAGUUGGAAACGACUGCUAAUACCGCAUAAGCCCACGGCUCGGCAUCGAGCAGAGGGAAAAGGAGCAAUCCGCUUUGAGAUGGCCUCGCGUCCGAUUAGCUAGUUGGUGAGGUAACGGCCCACCAAGGCGACGAUCGGUAGCCGGACUGGGAGGUUGAACGGCCACAUUGGGACUGGGACACGGCCCAG
RNAcentral lists this ribosomal RNA (237 nucleotides) under uncultured bacterium. RNAcentral describes it as "partial 16S ribosomal RNA". It matches the Rfam family "Bacterial small subunit ribosomal RNA", at positions 99 to 334 of the family's 1533-position model. The record is from RNAcentral.